RNAcentral lists this non-coding RNA (23 nucleotides) under Arabidopsis thaliana (thale cress). The record is from RNAcentral. Lineage: Eukaryota; Viridiplantae; Streptophyta; Magnoliopsida; Brassicales; Brassicaceae.
CCGAUUUUCCGGUUCACGAGCGU